UACGUAGGGCGCAAGCGUUGUCCGGAAUUAUUGGGCGUAAAGAGCUCGUAGGCGGCUUGUCACGUCGGAUGUGAAAUCCCGAGGCUUAACCUCGGGUCUGCAUUCGAUACGGGCUAGCUAGAGGGUGGUAGGGGAGAUCGGAAUUCCUGGUGUAGCGGUGAAAUGCGCAGAUAUCAGGAGGAACACCGGUGGCGAAGGCGGGUCUCUGGGCCGAUACUGACGCUGAGGAGCGAAAGCGUGGGGAGCAAACAGG
RNAcentral lists this ribosomal RNA (253 nucleotides) under uncultured bacterium. RNAcentral describes it as "partial 16S ribosomal RNA". It matches the Rfam family "Bacterial small subunit ribosomal RNA", at positions 524 to 776 of the family's 1533-position model. The record is from RNAcentral.